This 254-nucleotide ribosomal RNA is filed under the name uncultured bacterium. RNAcentral's name for it is "partial 16S ribosomal RNA". It matches the Rfam family "Bacterial small subunit ribosomal RNA", at positions 524 to 776 of the family's 1533-position model. The record is from RNAcentral.
UACGUAGGGUGCGAGUGUUGUCCGGAAUUAUUGGGCGUAAAGAGCUCGUAGGCGGUGUGUCACGUCGGCCGUGAAAACCUGGGGCUUAACUCUGGGCGUGCGGUCGAUACGGGCAUCACUAGAGUUCGGCAGGGGAGACUGGAAUUCCUGGUGUAGCGGUGAAAUGCGCAGAUAUCAGGAGGAACACCGGUGGCGAAGGCGGGUCUCUGGGCCGAUACUGACGCUGAGGAGCGAAAGCAUGGGUAGCGAACAGG